GCUCCCAUUCUUUGACUCCUUUAGCUUCUUUAAAGGAUGAAGGCUCUUCAUCAUCAAUUGGCACUGCAAAAUAAAAAAGAAUACGUACUAACAAAGUUUUCAUCUCUGAAGCAGGAUGGCUUAACAAUAGUUCUACUUGGUCUUUGUGAACCAAGUAAAUCAUCUUCUUGUUGAGUUUCACGUUGUUGAGUCUCCGGACUCCCCCUUUCGCUUAGCUCCUCCACAAUUUAAUUCUCUGGAGAAACAUUUGUGAUGGGUAAGUUUGAAACUCCAGGGUUGAAUGAUUUAGAAACCUCUCCUUCCAC
This 305-nucleotide long non-coding RNA is filed under the name Capsicum annuum. Its description in RNAcentral is "long non-coding RNA (CANN_LNC003398)". The record is from RNAcentral. Lineage: Eukaryota; Viridiplantae; Streptophyta; Magnoliopsida; Solanales; Solanaceae.